GUGCCAGCAGCCGCGGUAAUACGUAGGUGGCAAGCGUUGUCCGGAUUUAUUGGGCGUAAAGCGAGCGCAGGCGGUUUUUUAAGUCUGAUGUGAAAGCCUUCGGCUCAACCGAAGAAGUGCAUCGGAAACUGGGAAACUUGAGUGCAGAAGAGGACAGUGGAACUCCAUGUGUAGCGGUGAAAUGCGUAGAUAUAUGGAAGAACACCAGUGGCGAAGGCGGCUGUCUGGUCUGUAACUGACGCUGAGGCUCGAAAGUAUGGGUAGCAAACAGGAUUAGAUACCCUGGUAGUCCAUACCGUAAACGAUGAAUGCUAAGUGUUGGAGGGUUUCCGCCCUUCAGUGCUGCAGCUAACGCAUUAAGCAUUCCGCCUGGGGAGUACGGCCGCAAGGCUGAAACUCAAAGGAAUUGACGGGGGCCCGCACAAGCGGUGGAGCAUGUGGUUUAAUUCGAUGCAACGCGAAGAACCUUACCUGGUCUUGACAUCCACGGAAGUUUUCAGAGAUGAGGAUGUGCCUUCGGGAACCGUGAGACAGGUGCUGCAUGGCUGUCGUCAGCUCGUGUUGUGAAAUGUUGGGUUAAGUCCCGCAACGAGCGCAACCCUUAUCCUUUGUUGCCAGCGGUCCGGCCGGGAACUCAAAGGAGACUGCCAGUGAUAAACUGGAGGAAGGUGGGGAUGACGUCAAAUCAUCAUGCCCCUUAUGACCUGGGCUACACACGUGCUACAAUGGAUGGUACAACGAGUUGCGAACUCGCGAGAGCAAGCGGACCUCAUAAAGUGCGUCGUAGUCCGGAUUGGAGUCUGCAACUCGACUCCAUGAAGUCGGAAUCGCUAGUAAUCGUGGAUCAGAAUGCCACGGUGAAUACGUUCCCGGGCCUUGUACACACCGCCCGU
RNAcentral lists this ribosomal RNA (893 nucleotides) under uncultured bacterium. Its description in RNAcentral is "bacterial SSU rRNA". It matches the Rfam family "Bacterial small subunit ribosomal RNA", at positions 505 to 1397 of the family's 1533-position model. The record is from RNAcentral.